This 1294-nucleotide long non-coding RNA is filed under the name Mus musculus (house mouse). RNAcentral's name for it is "predicted gene, 71569". The record is from RNAcentral. Lineage: Eukaryota; Metazoa; Chordata; Mammalia; Rodentia; Muridae.
CUAGUCUCUCAUAGAAACUUCUGGCCUCUGGACACUGUGGGAGCAACUUUUCCUUUAUUAGACUGUCUCCUCUUUAACUGAAGAUACUUUAGCACAGCAAGCAUCUCUUUUAUGCUUACAUUAUGCAGUUAUGCAGACUUGGUGUACGUCCUUCAAGGACAGUCUAAGAAUCUUUGAUUCUAUUUCUGCUGGAUACAUUGUUGCAGAGAUGUAAGAAGGAAGGACUUAGAAAAGUAUGCUAUAAGAAUUGAAUGCUCAGAGGCAAGCUAACUUCACAAGGAGAAAAGAAAGAUGGAAACAGCCUAGACAAACUCAAAUCAAGUCCAGGAGACUUACGCUAGAGUUGCUUUUUCUAAUAGAAGAGACCAGUGUGCAAUUGUGAAUUGUGAUGCUGAGGCAAGCCCCAAGGAUGAAGAGAAUUAAAUAGAGGAGGAAGAGAAGAGGAAUAUUGCAGCAUGACUGGGAAGCCUGUCCUUCAUUACUUCAAUUGAAGAAGAAGAAUGGAGUCCAUCCGGUGGCUCCUGGCAGCAGCUGGAGUAGAGUUUGAGGAAGAACUUUUUGAAACCCAUGAAGAGUUUGAGAAGUUAAUCCAAGGUGGAACCCUGAUGUACGAGCAAGUGCCCAUGGUGGAAAUCGAUGGAAUGACUUUGGUGCAGACCAGUGCCAUCUUAAGAUAUGUAGCUGCAAAAUAUGACUUGUAUGGAAGGAACCUGGAGGAACAAGCCUGAAGAGAAGGAGAUGAACCUUGAAUACAUCCUCCACCGAGCUACAACAAGAUUCUUCCCCGUUUAUGAGAAGGACUUCAAGGUGAGAACCAGCCAAAUUCCUACAAUUAACAGCUUCCUCCAACCUGGAAGCCAGAGGAAGCCUCCUUUGGAGGAGCGAUCCAUUGGGACUGCAAAGGACAUAUUCAAAUUUGAAUGAGGACUGUUUCUUAAAAACAUGAGCAAUAUAGUAGCUGAGUAUUAACAGCUACAGAGGCUGGAGUUACUCAGUAAGUAUACUGAGUAACUUGACACUGCAUUCAUAAAAAGACACUCACUAAGUAUAUGGCCAGAGAAAUAUCCUGAAGUUAGUAAUAAAUGUUAGGAAUCUUAGUAUGUUAGCAAUGUUAGAAUGUUAGUAAUGGAAAUAUUAAAUGUGUAAGAGAAAAACUACUAGAAGCUUAUCAAUAAACUACAAGAACCAACUCUUGUUUGAAGUAAGACAGGCUACCAAGACAGAAUUCAGAAAAUCCAAGGAGCCCUCGGCCUUCUGUAUGAUCCUAGAAUAAACUUGUAUGUAGCAAGUGAAA